This 532-nucleotide long non-coding RNA is filed under the name Anas zonorhyncha (Eastern spot-billed duck). Its description in RNAcentral is "lncRNA (ENSAZOG00000004626.1)". Lineage: Eukaryota; Metazoa; Chordata; Aves; Anseriformes; Anatidae. The record is from RNAcentral.
AUAAAAUCAGGAAAACUGAGGCAUUUGGGAUUUCAGAUAACAUCACAAUAACCUUCCUGUUAGUUUGCAUUUUAAAACAUAACGAAGGUUUGGGGCCCUUAUGCACCAGGUGUUGGAGUCCUUGCAUGCCUUGGAAGUUGAACUAAAAGCAGUACAAAUUAAAUUAAUUUAAAAAAAAAAAAAAAAAAAAAGGCCCAAUUAAAGAUUUCUCAUUAGAUGCUCACACUUUGAGUGUGUGGCUAUUGGCUCACCAGGUGAAGCCUUCAAGUCUUCAGAUCAGGACACAGAACAGGGCUCUGUCCCCAGCAGUGGAAGGCAAACGUGCUCACUGGAAAGAAGACAACGGAUGGGGAGGAGAGCCAGCCGGCCAGAGAGGUGACGGGCUUUAGAAGGGUGAAAGUCUCCGUAGCUUGGUGCAGGAGCCCUGGCAGCGAUCUCGUCUGCAGCUGUAGGAGGAGGCAGGUGGCAGGAGUUCCUCUGAAACACGACACGCGUGGGCACAGAACCACGUCCAAGCUCCAUGUGAUUAUUG